GGUUGAUGCUAAGCGUGUCAUGCGAGUCGAGCGGACAGAUGGGAGCUUGCUCCCUGAUGUUAGCGGCGGACGGGUGAGUAACACGUGGGUAACCUGCCUGUAAGACUGGGAUAACUCCGGGAAACCGGGGCUAAUACCGGAUGCUUGUUUGAACCGCAUGGUUCAAACAUAAAAGGUGGCUUCGGCUACCACUUACAGAUGGACCCGCGGCGCAUUAGCUAGUUGGUGAGGUAAUGGCUCACCAAGGCAACGAUGCGUAGCCGACCUGAGAGGGUGAUCGGCCACACUGGGACUGAGACACGGCCCAGACUCCUACGGGAGGCAGCAGUAGGGAAUCUUCCGCAAUGGACGAAAGUCUGACGGAGCAACGCCGCGUGAGUGAUGAAGGUUUUCGGAUCGUAAAGCUCUGUUGUUAGGGAAGAACAAGUGCCGUUCAAAUAGGGCGGCACCUUGACGGUACCUAACCAGAAAGCCACGGCUAACUACGUGCCAGCAGCCGCGGUAAUACGUAGGUGGCAAGCGUUGUCCGGAAUUAUUGGGCGUAAAGGGCUCGCAGGCGGUUUCUUAAGUCUGAUGUGAAAGCCCCCGGCUCAACCGGGG
Molecule: ribosomal RNA, 600 nt
Filed under: Bacillus subtilis
Lineage: Bacteria; Bacillati; Bacillota; Bacilli; Caryophanales; Bacillaceae
Description: bacterial SSU rRNA
Rfam family: Bacterial small subunit ribosomal RNA
Source: RNAcentral